Siniperca chuatsi (mandarin fish) is the source of this 2405-nucleotide long non-coding RNA. RefSeq lists it as uncharacterized. The record is from RefSeq and is a predicted model, not a curated record. Lineage: Eukaryota; Metazoa; Chordata; Actinopteri; Centrarchiformes; Sinipercidae. The transcript has 3 exons.
GACCACUGCACACCAUUCACAUAUUGAUAAGACUGCUGAAUCCUGGCGUUUAAACCUUGAGAUAACAUGCAAUUCAACACAAUAUGAAGCACUGAAACAGAAUUAUCUCAUAGAAAAAACAAGGAGGAAAGUAAAGCAUUCAUUAUACAACUCCAGAACUCCUUUGUUGUUGUGCCCCUCUGAAACAACUUGCAUGGCCAGAUUCAUCAACAUUUCCUGCCAUUUCCCUCAUGACACUGACAAAGAUGAUGAUAAUAUAAGAAAAGAAAACUGCAUUCAAGAAAGAGGAAGCAGUAAGGCACGAUGGAGGCCCCAUGCCUGAGUAUGACUAGGAAUCCCCAAAUCACUAAAUCCGCCCCUGGAUACACUUCCACUAGAAGAUGUUCUCUUGACUGAAGAGUGUAUUUUUGUGUCGUCCACAGUGAGUGUGCAUUCUAAUUUAUGCAGCUGUCUUGGCCAUGAAAGCUGCAGCAUCUAGCAUGGAAAAGCAGCUGGUAAUUCACUCACUUGAUUCCGCUCAGGCCUUCAGCUGCUCUGUGGCUUUCAGUUCCUUUAGACGUAUCUCAGAGCUGACUUGUGGUCGAGUGUUUUCUGUCUGUGCAUGUGCUUCAUUACUGUGUGUCAUUAUUUGAUAGGCGCAGUACACGUUAUACGGCUCCCUGUAUGGAAAUGAAAGGGAAAUUAAUAAGAGAUGUUCAUUCAUGAGGGCUAUUCGUCUCAUCUGGAGGCAUGGUAAAGCCACUUCUGUGCAAAUGUGAAUAUUACAGAGCCAACUCACCAUUAUGUAUUUAAUCCAAGUCCAACCAAAAAAAACAAAAAACAUCCCUUUUUACAGUAAAAAAUUUUGUCAAAGUGAUUUUUAAAUUCAUUGUAAAUAUUGUUCAUUAAAAGGGGCUGUAAGCAAUAUCAGCAUUUUUGCUGACUUCCUGUCCGUUCUUGCAGAGUAGCACUUCCCUCCCUCCUCUACACAUCUCCAGUCCUCCCCCUCCUUCAACACAGGAACGUGCAGCAGUGUUCGCUGCGGCACCUUACAGUAUUAGACACAGCAGCCUUGGAGAGCAGUGGGUCAUCUACCUCUAACCAGAAAAGGGAGAGCUGCAGGCCGGGGCAGAGGCAGAGGAGGACCAGGUCCUGGCCGUAGUAGAGGGAGAGGCAGAGGCGCAUUCGGCCUGUCUGUGGAGGAAGCACUACGUGUGCAAGGCAACUGGAGUGUUUUUCCAGAUCCUCCCAGCCGAUACAUAGGCUUUCCCAAUACUGGAUCACUUCUGGUUUCUUCUUCACACUGCUGUCUUCCACUGCUUUGUCAUCAUGCAUGGGGCUCAGGAGGACAACAGCCUUUCCCUUCUUCGGCACAUAGCUCACGAUGGUCGUGUUGCCACUGAAUCCAAAUUCUGAGCUAUGCAUCUCCCUCGAUUUGGAUGGCUUCAUUAAAGUCUGCCUUGUUCUGGCAGAGUUCCCACAAUGGUCAGGUUCUUCUCAAGGAGCUUCUCAGCCAGAGGGACACUGGUGAAGAUGUUGUCCAUUGUGAUGUUGCGACCUAUGGUUAAAAACAAAAACAAACAAAAAAACGAAUGGUCAAUUUACUCAACAUGUAAUUCUCUAAAUUAAAUCUAACACUAUAAUAAACUGAAUGCAGGCAAGUUUUUUCCUUUAUUAUAUACACUAUAUGCUCUGUGGUACUGAUAUGAGACAAUGGGUUAUCUUGUUUAUUAGAGAUCUGCAGUGUGUGCAAUACACUAGACACCAAAACUCUCACGAAUACAUGCGAGCUGCGUGUGGCAGCUAGAGCAGAUGGGGCCCAUUGUCCAUCCGAUGUUAUUCCAGCUACACCUUUGUGUGACCUUCAAACCCCAGUCUUACUUUUAAUAUCAUAGGCUGAUAGCCAUGCAAGCGCAGCUGUGCAUUGGCAGUGAGCCUCAGUCUAUGAACUUAACUUCUUAGGCUGUGGCUCAGAGGUAGAGCAGGUCGUCCUCUAAUAGAAAGGUCGGCGGUUCAAACCCGGCUUCCCCCAGCCCACAUGCCGAAGUGUUCUUGUCCUUCUUCUUGGGCAAGAUACUGAUCUGCAAAUUACUCCAGAGGGCUGUACCUUGGGUGUGUGACUGAAUUUGUUUCUUUGUACUGAUGAGCAGUUGGUACCUGCCAUCAGUGUGUGAACGGGGUGAAUGUGAUAUGUAGUGUGAAGUGUUUUGAGUGGUCGGAAGACUAGAAAGGCACUAUACAAGUACAAUGUAGAAGCUCCAGAUGUUGCUGUGACACUGGCCAGGUUGCUGUACCUGUACCUUUUUAUAGACAGGAGCUGAAGAAUUGAGAUGUUUAUAUUAUGGUUGGUGGUGAUUCUGAAAAAUGCAGUAGUAACUGUGUUGUUGUCUGUACAAAAUAUACUAGCAUUUAUUUUUUCAAAUGAA